RNAcentral lists this ribosomal RNA (1533 nucleotides) under human gut metagenome. Its description in RNAcentral is "bacterial LSU rRNA". It matches the Rfam family "Bacterial large subunit ribosomal RNA", at positions 588 to 2004 of the family's 2925-position model. The record is from RNAcentral.
GUGGGGUGACGGCGUGCCUAUCGAAAAAUGAGUCUGCGAGUCAGUGGCAUGUGGCGAGCAUAAGCCGUGUGGCGUAUGCGUAGCGAAGGCGAGUCUUAAAAGGCGUUUGAGUCGCGUGUCCUGGACCCGAAGCGGGAUGAUCUAGCCCUGAGCAGGUUGAAGCGCGGGUAAGACCGCGUGGAGGACCGAACCCACCUGGGUUGAAAACCGGGGGGAUGACUUGGGGCUAGGGGUGAAAGGCCAAUCAAAUUCCGUGAUAGCUGGUUCUCUCCGAAAUGCAUUUAGGUGCAGCGUCGGAUCGAUUACAUCCGGGGGGUAGAGCGACUGGAUGCUUGCGGGCCCAUAUCGGGUACCAACAGCAACCAAACUCCGAAUACCCGUGAUGCGUAUCCCGGCAGUGAGUCGGCGGGGGAUAAGCUCCGUCGUCGAAAGGGAAACAGCCCAGAUCGUCGUCUAAGGUCCCCAAGCGUGUGCUAAGUGGGAAAGGAUGUGGAGUCGCAUAGACAGCCAGGAGGUUGGCUCAGAAGCAGCCACCCUUGAAAGAGUGCGUAACAGCUCACUGGUCUAGUGGUUCCGCGCCGACAAUGUAGCGGGGCUCAAGCACACCACCGAAGACGCGGCAGUAGCUUUGCUACUGGGUAGGAGAGCGUCCCGUGCGGGGCGAAGCGGCGGCGCAAGCCCGCCGUGGACCGCAUGGGAGUGAGAAUGCAGACAUGAGUAGCGAAAGACGGGUGAAGAUCCCGUCCGCUGGACGACCAAGGGUUCCAGGGCCACGUUCAUCGUCCCUGGGUGAGUCGGGUCCUAAGGCGAGGCCGACAGGCGUAGUCGAAUGGAUGAACGGGUCGAUAUUCCCGUACCGGCUUUCAGCCGCCAAAACCGAGGCUUGGAGUACUAACCUCCGGGUCCGGGCUUACUGCUCCUUCGGGGGCGGGAUGCCCUGGCCUGUUGGGACCGAUCCUUGUAGUAGGUCAGCGCAGGAGUGACGCAGAAGGGUAGCCGGCCGCGGAGGUGGUCUUCCGUGGUCAAGCACGCAGGGCGUGGGACAGGCAAAUCCGUCCCGCAUGGGUCCGAGGUGCGAUGAUGGGGGCCUUAUGGCCCGAUAUCCGGUGAUCCCGGCUGCCGAGAAAAGCUUCGGCGUCAGGCUCGAAGCCGCCCGUACCCCAAACCGACACUGGUGGUCAGGUAGAGAAUACCAAAGCGAUCGAGCGAAUCCUGGUCAAGGAACUCGGCAAAUCACUCCCGUUCCUUCGGUUUAAGGGAGACCCCCGAUGGUGAACACACUUGCUGUGGGAGCUUUUGGGGGUGGCACAGACCAGGGGGUAGCGACUGUUUACCAAAAACACAGGUGCAUGCGAAGGCGCAAGCCGCUGUAUAUGCACUGACGCCUGCCCGGUGCCGGAAGGUUAAGAGGAUCCGUCAGCCUUCGGGUGAAGCGGUGAAUUCAAGCCCCGGUAAACGGCGGUGGUAACUAUAACCAUCCUAAGGUAGCGAAAUUCCUUGUCGGGUAAGUUCCGACCUGCACGAAUGGCGUAA